AUUGAACGCUGGCGGCAUGCUUUACACAUGCAAGUCGAACGGCAGCGCGGGGCAACCUGGCGGCGAGUGGCGAACGGGUGAGUAAUACAUCGGAACGUACCCAGAAGUGGGGGAUAACGUAGCGAAAGUUACGCUAAUACCGCAUACGACCUAAGGGUGAAAGUGGGGGACCGCAAGGCCUCAUGCUUUUGGAGCGGCCGAUGUCUGAUUAGCUAGUUGGUGAGGUAAAGGCUCACCAAGGCGACGAUCAGUAGCUGGUCUGAGAGGACGACCAGCCACACUGGGACUGAGACACGGCCCAGACUCCUACGGGAGGCAGCAGUGGGGAAUUUUGGACAAUGGGGGCAACCCUGAUCCAGCAAUGCCGCGUGAGUGAAGAAGGCCUCGGGUUGUAAAGCUCUUUGUCAGGGAAGAAACGGUUACUGGUUAAUACCUGGGCGUAAUGACGGUACC
This 453-nucleotide ribosomal RNA is filed under the name uncultured bacterium. Its description in RNAcentral is "bacterial SSU rRNA". It matches the Rfam family "Bacterial small subunit ribosomal RNA", at positions 30 to 479 of the family's 1533-position model. The record is from RNAcentral.